This 301-nucleotide ribosomal RNA is filed under the name uncultured bacterium. RNAcentral's name for it is "partial 16S ribosomal RNA". It matches the Rfam family "Bacterial small subunit ribosomal RNA", at positions 509 to 808 of the family's 1533-position model. The record is from RNAcentral.
CAGUCGCCGCGGUAAUCCGUAGGUGGCAAGCGUUGUCCGGAAUUAUUGGGCGUAAAGGGCUCGCAGGCGGUUUCUUAAGUCUGAUGUGAAAGCCCCCGGCUCAACCGGGGAGGGUCAUUGGAAACUGGGAAACUUGAGUGCAGAAGAGGAGAGUGGAAUUCCACGUGUAGCGGUGAAAUGCGUAGAGAUGUGGAGGAACACCAGUGGCGAAGGCGACUCUCUGGUCUGUAACUGACGCUGAGGAGCGAAAGCGUGGGGAGCGAACAGGAUUAGAUACCCCUGUGUCCCUGUCUCUUAUACA